This 354-nucleotide unclassified non-coding RNA is filed under the name uncultured fungus. Its description in RNAcentral is "sequence contains ITS1". The stretch from base 1 to 105 matches the Rfam family "5.8S ribosomal RNA", at positions 50 to 154 of the family's 154-position model. The record is from RNAcentral. Lineage: Eukaryota; Fungi.
GAAAUGCGAUAAUUAAUGUGAAUUGCAGAAUUCAGUGAAUCAUCGAGUCUUUGAACGCACAUUGCGCCUUGUGGUAUUCCGCAAGGCAUGCCUGUUUGAGCGUCAGUAAAAAAUGUCAAGAAAGAAAUUUUUUUUUUCUUUCUUGGAUCAUAUCAAGAAAGUGAAAGGGAUUUAUUUCCUUUUUACCUCUUGAAAAAUGAUAGAUGGUCAAAAAGUUUUCUUUUUGCCAGACGUAAUAAGAUUACUUUUGUUUUCUAAUUCGUUUGGAUGAAAAUCUUUUUUAUUGACAAUCUUGAACCCACAUUUUUUUUUUGACUUGACCUCAGAUCAGGUAGGGAUACCCGCUGAACUUAA